UACGUAGGGCGCAAGCGUUGUCCGGAAUUAUUGGGCGUAAAGAGCUCGUAGGCGGCCUGUUGCGUCCGCUGUGAAAUCCCGGGGCUCAACCCCGGGCGUGCAGUGGAUACGGGCUGGCUGGAGGCAGGCAGGGGAGAACGGAAUUCCUGGUGUAGCGGUGAAAUGCGCAGAUAUCAGGAGGAACACCGGUGGCGAAGGCGGUUCUCUGGGCCUGUACUGACGCUGAGGAGCGAAAGCGUGGGGAGCGAACCGG
Molecule: ribosomal RNA, 253 nt
Filed under: uncultured bacterium
Lineage: Bacteria
Description: partial 16S ribosomal RNA
Rfam family: Bacterial small subunit ribosomal RNA
Source: RNAcentral